This 422-nucleotide ribosomal RNA is filed under the name uncultured bacterium. RNAcentral's name for it is "bacterial SSU rRNA". It matches the Rfam family "Bacterial small subunit ribosomal RNA", at positions 355 to 774 of the family's 1533-position model. The record is from RNAcentral.
UGAGGAAUAUUGGGCAAUGCCCGCAAGGGUGACCCAGCAACGCCGCGUGGAGGAUGAAUGUCGUAAGAUUGUAAACUCCUGUUAGAGGGGAAGAAUAGUACCGGUUGGACCGGUAUAUGACUGUACCCUCAGAGAAAGCCCCGGCUAACUACGUGCCAGCAGCCGCGGUAAUACGUAGGGGGCAAGCGUUGUCCGGAUUUACUGGGUGUAAAGGGCGCGCAGGCGGGAUAAAAAGUCAGUGGUGAAAUCCUACAGCUUAACUGUAGAACUGCCUUUGAUACUUUUAUUCUUGAGUUCGGGAGAGAGAGACGGAAUUCCAGGUGUAGUUGUGAAAUACGUAGAUAUCUGGAAGAACACCAGUUGCGAAGGCGGUCUCUUGGUCCGACACUGACGCUGAGGCGCGAAAGCGUGGGGAGCAAACA